GAGUUUGAUCCUGGCUCAGGAUAAAAGCUGGCGGCGCACAUAAGACAUGCAAGUCGAACGGACUUAAUUCAUUCUUUUAGAUUGGAAGCGGUUAGUGGCGGACUGGUGAGUAACGCGUGAGCAACCUGCCUAUUAGAGGGGAAUAACAGUGAGAAAUCAUUGCUAAUACCGCAUAUGCUUACACUAUUGCAUGAUAGAGUAAGGAAAGGAGCAAUCCGCUAAUAGAUGGGCUCGCGUCUGAUUAGCUAGUUGGUGGGGUAGAAGCCUACCAAGGCGACGAUCAGUAGCCGGACUGAGAGGUUGAACGGCCACAUUGGGACUGAGAUACGGCCCAGACUCCUACGGGAGGCAGCAGUCGGGAAUAUUGCGCAAUGGAGGGAACUCUGACGCAGUGACGCCGCGUAUAGGAAGAAGGUUUUCGGAUUGUAAACUAUUGUCGUUAGGGAAGAAAAAAGACAGUACCUAAGGAGGAAGCCCCGGCUAACUAUGUGCCAGCAGCCGCGGUAAUACAUAGGGGGCAAGCGUUAUCCGGAAUUAUUGGGUGUAAAGGGUGCGUAGACGGGUGUUUAAGUUGGUUGUGAAAUCCCUCGGCUCAACUGAGGAACUGCAACCAAAACUGGAUA
This 623-nucleotide ribosomal RNA is filed under the name uncultured bacterium. RNAcentral describes it as "bacterial SSU rRNA". It matches the Rfam family "Bacterial small subunit ribosomal RNA", at positions 9 to 639 of the family's 1533-position model. The record is from RNAcentral.